ACCUGGCUGGCCCAGUAGGUGGAGCGCGGGACUCUUGAUCUCGGGGUUGUGAGUUCGAGCCCCAUGUUGAGUA
RNAcentral lists this transfer RNA (73 nucleotides) under Felis catus (domestic cat). It matches the Rfam family "tRNA". Rfam says of the family: Transfer RNA (tRNA) molecules are approximately 80 nucleotides in length. RNAcentral also lists the same sequence under 2 other names. The record is from Rfam by way of RNAcentral. Lineage: Eukaryota; Metazoa; Chordata; Mammalia; Carnivora; Felidae.